AUGCUUCUGGAGCUGUUCAAGCGCGACCCUCAGCACCCAUUUAUGUUGCCGCGGAGUGUCGUUCCGCUGUGCAACAAUUCUUCACUCGACCGCAUCCGCGCGAUGAUGCCGUUGUGCGACUCACGCGGAAUCGUCCCGACCUGGCAAGAGCCCGCCGACGAUGUCGUGCGAGAUUUCUUUGACGGCUUGGUCGAAGUGCCGGUCCGCACUGACGAACAGAAGAGCCUCACCCGUGACACCACCGAUGCGGAGAUGCAGCGCAUCGCCACCAGGCUGGAAGAGGCGGCGGCAGCUGCUGCCGCGGGUGAGUUUGGAUUCACCUUGGAGGAGGCUGAGGCAGUGGAGGCGGCAAGUCUUGCCGAGCGCGAGGAGUUUGCCAGCGAGGAAGGGCUUGCCGGGCCUGAAGAUGAGCCGAGCAAGCCCGCCGAGGGCGCGGGCGACCCGUUGCAGAUCGGCUCUUUCUCCUCCCCACCUUCAGCCAGCUCACUGCAUGCGGAGCCCCCAGCCCCACCAAGAAGGCGUCUCCGCAGGGCCGGGGACGUGGCAGGGCGGCAGACGAGUCAACAGCCGUCGCAGCGCACGACGCGCUCGACCGCGGCAAGCACUGUUGCCGCGGGAGCACCUCACGCCGCUGCGGCAACCGGAGCGGGAUCUUCCCGGUCCACCGCGCCUGCUCCUGCCAAGCGGGCAAGGGAGCCUACUCCUCCGCCUCGCCGCACCGGAGGUGAGCCGGACUUCGAUCUCUCCGCGCUCAGCUCCGACGACAAAGAAGAAGAGACUCUGGCCCAGAGAGCGGCAAAGAGAGCCAAGGCUCCGGUGAUUGUCAUCGAGGACGACCCCGCCACGACGGCAGAGGACAUGUCCGAGACCACCUUGUCGGACCCGGCAAUCAUUUCUCAAAGCAGCCCCUAG
This 912-nucleotide ribosomal RNA is filed under the name Triticum aestivum (bread wheat). RNAcentral's name for it is "partial small subunit ribosomal RNA". The record is from RNAcentral. Lineage: Eukaryota; Viridiplantae; Streptophyta; Magnoliopsida; Poales; Poaceae.